Numida meleagris (helmeted guineafowl) is the source of this 1251-nucleotide long non-coding RNA. RefSeq lists it as uncharacterized. The transcript is spliced from 3 exons. Lineage: Eukaryota; Metazoa; Chordata; Aves; Galliformes; Numididae. The record is from RefSeq and is a predicted model, not a curated record.
UGCAUUUCUUGGCAUCUGCUCAAGCUGCUGUAGAAUCAGUAACUGUUCUGUAAGUUAGUCUCAUUACAGACCUGCUGCAGUAAUUGGUUUGCACAGUGGCCAUGUGGUAACUCAUAAAACUUUGCACAAGGGUCUCAGUUCUACAAGUAUUUCUUCCUGCACUUAUAGGGAACAAAGCCCCCUCUGGAAGCCAAGUUGCUCAGCCUGCAAGCGAGCACUGGGAGCAUUGCACCGCAGCCUGAAUGCCACCAGAAAUGUUUUCUGACAUUCAAAUAGUUAUAAAACAGCACUAUGUGAUCACAGAGUCAUUAAGGGUGGAAAAGAUCUUCCAGUUCAACUGUCAACUCAUUGCCACCGUACCACUAACACAUCCCUCAGUGCCACAACCCCUGCGAAUAAGUGGGUGUUCCUGUCAUGCUCCUUCAGCAGUUGGGGAAGCAGAGCUAUGACUCAGAGCUGCUCAAGGUCACCCAGUAGCAUAAAUAAAUAGCACCCAGGUGCCCUGCGCUUGCCUAACACCAAGCUUCCUCACACUGCUCUGAUGAUAUUUGGGGAGUUCAUCUUCAAAGGGGUUUGGAACGUGUGCCCUUGCAACGAGGAGGCUGUAGGACACCAGAGCAGCCUGUGCUCAUCGCUGCUUGCUGGGAGGAGAAAACUCCUACCAAAGAAGCCACAAGCCCAGCUGUCAGAUGAAGGAUUGCACUUCACUAUCACAUAUAACCUGAAAGCAAAACCACUCUAACACACUGGUGACGAGGAGUGAGUGGUGUGCUGCCACCCAGUAGGACACAUCUCUAUCACUUCAUCUGCCCAGGUUAUUGAGUCAUCAGAGCACAGCCUGUUCCUCACCUGCCACAGCUCUAGUAGAUAACCUCUGGCAAGGAUCUCAUACUUAAUGCUGUUCUUUAAGCAGGGCAGACAUCACUGAAUACCCAUCUGUAUUAAAGCAAGAAAUCCUUGUUUCAUAUUUGAAGCCAGUUUUAGCCCAAAUAGGCUCAUUUGCCCCACAUGGGAGGAAAGACCCUGUGCCAUAGCACCUUUCCUAAUGACCAGAGCAGGCUGUGAAAGAUCAAUCCUCCCAGCUCCUUUCAUAAUGACUUACCACAGCUGCCCGGCUUCACCCCCCUGUCCAACGCCUGCUGCUCCCCUAGUGCUCUUUGCAGCAAGCUUCUGCAGGGCUGGGCUGAGGGGGCCCUCUUUUUGCCUUUUAAUAUUUGAACUCAAUGGUGCUAAGAACCGUACACCCUCUGA